RNAcentral lists this ribosomal RNA (216 nucleotides) under Campeiostachys nutans. RNAcentral describes it as "Elymus nutans partial small subunit ribosomal RNA". The stretch from base 40 to 216 matches the Rfam family "Eukaryotic small subunit ribosomal RNA", at positions 686 to 864 of the family's 1831-position model. The record is from RNAcentral. Lineage: Eukaryota; Viridiplantae; Streptophyta; Magnoliopsida; Poales; Poaceae.
GGACCGGUGGGUUGGUCGUGCCUCCGGUACGUACUGGUCUUACUGGUUCCUCCCUUCUGAAGAAUCACGAUGUCAUUAAUUUGGUGUCUUGGGGAAUCAGGACUGUUACUUUGAAAAAAUUAGAGUGUUUAAAGCAGGCAUACGCUUGAAUACAUUAGCAUGGAAUAAUGAAAUAGGACGUUUGAUUCUAUUUUGUUGGUUUCUAGGAUCGACGUA